GCCAUGAACGCUGGCGGCAGGCCUAACACAUGCAAGUCGAGCGGAAACGAGUUAUCUGAACCUUCGGGGAACGAUAACGGCGUCGAGCGGCGGACGGGUGAGUAAUGCCUAGGAAAUUGCCCUGAUGUGGGGGAUAACCAUUGGAAACGAUGGCUAAUACCGCAUAAUGCCUACGGGCCAAAGAGGGGGACCUUCGGGCCUCUCGCGUCAGGAUAUGCCUAGGUGGGAUUAGCUAGUUGGUGAGGUAAGGGCUCACCAAGGCGACGAUCCCUAGCUGGUCUGAGAGGAUGAUCAGCCACACUGGAACUGAGACACGGUCCAGACUCCUACGGGAGGCAGCAGUGGGGAAUAUUGCACAAUGGGCGCAAGCCUGAUGCAGCCAUGCCGCGUGUGUGAAGAAGGCCUUCGGGUUGUAAAGCACUUUCAGUCGUGAGGAAGGUAGUGUAGUUAAUAGCUGCAUUAUUUGACGUUAGCGACAGAAGAAGCACCGGCUAACUCCGUGCCAGCAGCCGCGGUAAUAA
RNAcentral lists this ribosomal RNA (521 nucleotides) under Vibrio campbellii. Its description in RNAcentral is "bacterial SSU rRNA". It matches the Rfam family "Bacterial small subunit ribosomal RNA", at positions 29 to 526 of the family's 1533-position model. Lineage: Bacteria; Pseudomonadati; Pseudomonadota; Gammaproteobacteria; Vibrionales; Vibrionaceae. The record is from RNAcentral.